AGCCACCGCCUUACUUCCAGUGUUGUACCUCCACGAAGGCUUGAUCGGCCCGUGCGCGACAACAGCUUCUCUACAAGAUACGGCCGGGGGGGGCGAGGACAGGCGGCGACGACUUCCUCUUUGUUUUAGCGUCGCUUCUUUCUCGCCUUCCCACGGACAGUGCGCACGUGUUGCGUGGCACACGCCACUUCUUCCCUCCCCACACACACCUGUAGGGUCACAGGCACGCCCACGCGCUUCCUAUUCUCCCAGCUUUUCUUCUGCGGAGCUCCUUACAUUCGAUGAAGCGUGGGCGAGAAGAGGACACGGAGGCAGAGGUAGGAGGUAGCCGCGUAGGGCCCAGUGACCCCGGCAGCGCUGCGACGAGUACAGUGCACAAACCGCGCCGGCUGGUCAAGGGUGUCGAUGUCGGACUGCCGCUUCACGCGUCCGUCAUUGAGGAAAUCUGCGAGGUGGAAGAGACACAUACGGUGCUUGUGCGCUUUCCCUGCUUUGACUUCUUCCGACACGUACGCGUGUGCGAGCGUACUCGAGACCCGCAGCCCGCCACAUCCGGCGAUGCUGCCAAGGCUUCGGCAAGUCUUGUAAGCGCGUUAUCAGACACCACUUUCCGUAGUGGCGCGCCUCCGGCCACCUCGCCGCACGAUACUGCCGACGCCGCCUUCGCCCCGGAAGCCGCGGUCUUUAUAUCAGGGACGCUAGAGACGGAUGCGCCGCGACUCUUGCUGAACGGCGGCACCCCACAUGAAAUGCUUUUCGAGGGGCAGUGGACUGAGGUGGCUGGCGAAGGCGUAUCCGUCACAAAUCGUGCCGUUGUGCACGUCAGUGCCAAGACGGCAGGUAUCACUGUGCCACCAGCAGCACCUCCUUUGAACUCCUCCCCAAUUAUGAGCGACGCGGCAAAGUCUCCCGAGCCGGCGCGUGCCACCGCUGAGUCGUUUCCUGCGUCUGCAUCUCAGGCAACGGGGACGCCUGCGCUGCCGAUCGCGAGUUUGCUGACGCAUACGCUUGCCGGCGUCACCGCCGACGAGGAGCGCCGCCAGCGGGCGGAGCAGCAGAAGGGCUGGGCCUACGAUCGCAUCGAUGUACCCUCAGCCGUCCUCGUCAUGCAUCGUGUGCGCUAAAACGACAUGCAGGCCUCGCAGAGCUGCUUUGGUACCGGUGAAGAGUGAAAGGGCAACGUGGACAUGGAUGCUGAUCCGUCGAGAUGCCGCCCAGCUGGUCUCCGUGCCGACACAACACCGAGGCAAGCCCAGCGAAAGAAAGAAAACAAAAACAACUAGCGCCAUGCCGAGAGUGUUGCAGACACUUCCGACGCUCACGGGUGCCAGGGCGACGAUGCCCCUUUUUGUGCGUGUAGAAGUCUCGUUUCCGCGUGUGCCCCUUGCUCUGCCCGUGCAACGCGAGCUGCACGCCACUCCACACCCCUCCAGCCGGCCCCGUCACACCGGCCCACAUGGCCUGGCGCGAGGCAGCGGUAGGCAUACGCGGUACAGCACUGCGCCAACACAGUCACCUGCGUACGGCCUCCGUCCCAAGCGCUACACAGCCGCACCCUCCUUGAGAGUGGCGCAGGCUCCCUGCACCGCUGGGCAGAGUGAGGGGCCCGGAGGGGGAGGGAGAGGGGGGAGAUGUGUUCGAGCCACGCUGGCCGCUCCGACGCCACGCCCUCCACAACCUCACCAGCGACAUCAGCAGCGAUACAUCGCUCUGACCUCCCCUACGUCGUCGGUGCUGGGCCCCGCCACCACCCGAGGUGGCUGGGGCACUUGGCAGGGGUUUAGGGGUUGGGGGGCUGGCUCGCUUCCCCACAGCCACACACACACACACAGAGUGGGGUGCGUGCUGGGCCCUGCGACACGACGCACUGAGGGGUUCUAUCAUCUCCGUCAUCCGGGGGAUGUGUGCGUAUCCAG
This 1916-nucleotide unclassified non-coding RNA is filed under the name Leishmania donovani. RNAcentral's name for it is "gene:LdHU3.27.1430(CDS-product:hypothetical_prote in_conserved)". The record is from RNAcentral. Lineage: Eukaryota; Euglenozoa; Kinetoplastea; Trypanosomatida; Trypanosomatidae.